AUAAAAUGACUAGGUGCAUUUUGACUAGUUCAAUUUUGGUGCACAUGUUUUGCUCUCUAUAUGCAUAGGAAUGACACUGCUAAGGCAAAAGUUCUGGGACACAUGUGCAGAACAUGCAGGUUUGUUACAAUUUGCCUUAUUGUGUGAUUUAGAGCUCAUCUGCAGUAUCUCCAAGAUCCCAGAUGCUGCCACAUUCCUUGCAAUACAGCCCCUUCCACUAUCUUCAAGGUCCUAGCCUGAGUCCUUCCUUGCUCAAUGAGGAGUCUAAAGACCUUUCACGGCUUUGGAGUUAAGAGGGUGAAAGUAGAAUGAGUAAAAGAUGACAAAUUCCUACCUUUGCUUUCCACAUUAACCACUGCUUGAAGAUAUCAACAUGUCGGCCACACUGAAUAGUUUUAUCCGCCGUGUCAAAGUCAACAUUGUAGAGUUUACCUGACUGGAAAAGAUAUUCAGCUUGCAUCUGAUUACAUGCAUCUAGAAGGCCCUAAAAAAGGAAAAACAUAUCUAACAUCCUUUUGUCUCAUAUGAAAAAUGUGGAAAACAUUCCUCCUCAGUGUU
Long non-coding RNA from Homo sapiens (human), 558 nucleotides. The record is from Ensembl. Lineage: Eukaryota; Metazoa; Chordata; Mammalia; Primates; Hominidae.